GUGAGGAAUAUUGGACAAUGGGCGCAAGCCUGAUCCAGCCAUGCCGCGUGCAGGAAGACGCAUCUAUGGUGUGUAAACUGCUUUUGUACGGGAAGAAACACUCCCUCGUGAGGGAGCUUGACGGUACCGUAAGAAUAAGGAUCGGCUAACUCCGUGCCAGCAGCCGCGGUAAUACGGAGGAUCCAAGCGUUAUCCGGAAUCAUUCGGUUUAAAGGGUCCGUAGGCGGUUUAAUAAGUCAGUGGUGAAAGCCCAUCGCUCAACGAUGGAACGGCCAUUGAUACUGUUAGACUUGAAUUACAAGGAAGUAACUAGAAUAUGUAGUGUAGCGGUGAAAUGCUUAGAUAUUACAUGGAAUACCAAUUGCGAAGGCAGGUUACUACUUGUGGAUUGACGCUGAUGGACGAAAGCGUGGGGAGCGAACAGGAUUAGAAACCCGUGUAGUCC
RNAcentral lists this ribosomal RNA (445 nucleotides) under uncultured bacterium. Its description in RNAcentral is "partial 16S ribosomal RNA". It matches the Rfam family "Bacterial small subunit ribosomal RNA", at positions 354 to 796 of the family's 1533-position model. The record is from RNAcentral.